RNAcentral lists this ribosomal RNA (316 nucleotides) under uncultured bacterium. Its description in RNAcentral is "bacterial SSU rRNA". It matches the Rfam family "Bacterial small subunit ribosomal RNA", at positions 355 to 684 of the family's 1533-position model. The record is from RNAcentral.
UGGGGAAUAUUGGGCAAUGGGGCGAAAGCCUGACCCAGCAACGCCGCGUGAGGGAAGAAGGGUUUCGGCUCGUAAACCUCUGUCCUAUGGGACGAAGGAAGUGACGGUACCAUAGGAGGAAGCCCCGGCUAACUACGUGCCAGCAGCCGCGGUAAUACGUAGGGGGCGAGCGUUGUCCGGAAUGAUUGGGCGUAAAGGGCGCGUAGGCGGCCUGGUAAGUCCGGAGUGAAAGUCCUGCUUUUAAGGUGGGGAUUGCUUUGGAUACUGUCGGGCUUGAGUGCAGGAGAGGAAAGCGGAAUUACCGGUGUAGCGGUGA